Long non-coding RNA from Mesoplodon densirostris (Blainville's beaked whale), 952 nucleotides. RefSeq lists it as uncharacterized. Lineage: Eukaryota; Metazoa; Chordata; Mammalia; Artiodactyla; Ziphiidae. The record is from RefSeq and is a predicted model, not a curated record. The transcript has 3 exons.
CCAAGUGCCAGAACAGAAAUCUGAUCUGCCCUGGCUGAUGAAACGCUGAAGUCAGCAGUUUGGGGCCACUCUGGCCGGAGCUGGGGCUGAGGCUCCCACGGCUGCCUGGUGGUGAGAAGCUGCAGGCCCAGCUCCCAGCCUCGACUCCGUCCUCACAUCAAUUGCUCCUCUCCCUGGGCCUCCAUCUCCUCAUCUGGUCACAGGGGGUAGGAAGAGAAGCAAGCUGCCCACCUCUGAGAACUUUCAUCAGGUAUAUACCCAGGAGAGAAAUUGCUCGGUCAUAUAUCAAUAAUAGCUCUAGUUUUAGUUUUUUGAGAAAACCCCAUCCUGUUUUCCACAGUGGCUGCACCAAUUUACAUUCUAAGGUUGCUGAUGCCUCAGGGAGGCUGUCCCAAACAAGCCUUCUGAACACACCCGAACACCACAGCGCAUCCAUCUGCAUCUGUGUCUUUACUGUAGGGCGUCCCACACCGCGUGAGCUGUAUUCUUCCCUUGUCUUUCCUGUUCACUGUGGACUGUCCCCAGUGCCUGGGGCAGUGCCUGGCACACCGUGGGUGCUCUAUAAAUACAUGCUAAAGGAACAGAUAAAAGUAACACACUUGAACAUGCAUCUACACACCGAGAGGUGUGCUCUGGGAGGGCAGAGCCCUGUGUGUCGGGGGCAUGUGGCCAGGGUGGCUGGGGAGGAGGCCCCGGGAAGUACAGGAAGAGCCAGGUGAAGUUAACGUGGAGAGGGAUCCACGUGGACCGGGCAGCUUGCGCAAAGGGCUGGGAUGGCAGGAAGCGUGGAGGGCUUAAGGAUUAGAGGCCAGCGGAGGCCAGCCCACACCGGCCCUGGGACCAUGCUGCCGAGUUGGAUUUUAGCGUGGGAGUCACAGGAAGUCAGGGAAAGAUUUAAAAUCAGCGGUGGCAAGGUUAGCCUGGCGUUUCAAGAAGUCUCUGGCUGGGUUUA